GGUUCCACUUGAUGUCGAGCACAUUGCCCUGGUGGCCGCAGACUUUGGGGUAGUUUGGCUCGAUCCGGCCUGUCUGCUCGAGUGGGAUGACAAGGAAGGAGCCGCCGCCGGCGCUCUCGGUGACGAUGGCGAGGAAGCGGGCAUUGACGGCGCAGAAGUGAUUGUCGUGCACGUUCUUGGUGAUGGGGAUGCCAUCGAAGCAGUGCUCCCGGCUCGCCACCUUCCCGUAGACAUUGCGGAAUUUGGAGCUGCGGUACUGCGGGCGCCAUGACAUCUGAGCUGCUGGGCUCCGUGGGCUCGUGGGGCACCUCCUGCCACCCGGGGCUGGCGCGGGGCUCAGGGGGUC
Molecule: long non-coding RNA, 346 nt
Filed under: Gallus gallus (chicken)
Lineage: Eukaryota; Metazoa; Chordata; Aves; Galliformes; Phasianidae
Source: RNAcentral